Molecule: non-coding RNA, 85 nt
Organism: Felis catus (domestic cat)
Lineage: Eukaryota; Metazoa; Chordata; Mammalia; Carnivora; Felidae
Source: Rfam
GCCUGCGUGGCUCAGUUGGUUGAGCGUCUGACUUCGGCUCAGGUCAUGAUCCCGCAGUUCAUGGGUUGGAACCCUGUGUCGGGCU